Molecule: transfer RNA, 72 nt
Filed under: Sphaerobolus stellatus SS14
Lineage: Eukaryota; Fungi; Basidiomycota; Agaricomycetes; Geastrales; Sphaerobolaceae
Description: tRNA-Glu (CTC) (tRNA-Glu-CTC-5-1)
Rfam family: tRNA
About the family: Transfer RNA (tRNA) molecules are approximately 80 nucleotides in length. Their secondary structure includes four short double-helical elements and three loops (D, anti-codon, and T loops).
Source: RNAcentral
UUCGAUAUGGUGUAGUGGCUAAAAUUAUCGCCGCUCACGCGAUAGCCCGGGGUUCAAUUCCCCGUGUCGGAA